UUUAAUUAUCAUAUAUAAAAGUGAAAAUACAAAAUAUAAAUUAAUUUUAGUUGGGGCAACUGGGAGGGAUAAAAAUCUUUUAUUAAAUCAUUUAUAAUAAUAUUUAUAUUUAUGAUCCAAAUUAGUUAAUUUUGAACUUAGAAU
This 144-nucleotide ribosomal RNA is filed under the name Ledella ultima. Its description in RNAcentral is "partial small subunit ribosomal RNA". Lineage: Eukaryota; Metazoa; Mollusca; Bivalvia; Nuculanida sp.; Nuculanidae. The record is from RNAcentral.